UUGUUCUUUAGAUGAUAAAAGCAAACAUCUUUCUCUUUUAUGAGUGAGAGAAUUUGAGUCUCGUGUCAGAAAAAACUAGUAGGGAGUUUAUUUUGAAGAGUAUACUAUGUAAAAAUAAUUUUUUUUUUUUUUUUUUUUUUUUUUUUUUAGCCUCUAAGUUUUUAUUAACAUGAGUUUUCAAAAACAAGCAGCCACACUAUUGUGGGGGGUGAGGGUAGGAGAAGAGAGAAGGGCAAGGCAGGGGGGGAAGGAAUUCUGCUUUAUUGGUAAUAAAGCUCCAGGUUCAUCCCAUCAUGGAUUUCAUAUGCAUUUAACGCGGACCUUCUUCCCCAGACGGUCGUUGCAAACAACCUCGAUCAUCCUGUCUGGAGCAAGAAUCGCCUGGAACCAGCAGACGCCACAACCUCUUCGCUGGAAGGUAGAGCCUGGGACUGAACCAGAAUUUUCCAAGUGAACAAUGCAUGAUGGGACAAAACCUUGCAUGAGAUCUUUUCAAAGUGCUUAAUGGACCAAUGAGGUUUAAUGCACCAGGUGCUAGAGAAGGUCCCCUAGAGGGCAUAACUGUGAGCUGGACACAGAAAACUCCCCCACCUUGGAAUGUAUGUUCUGCCCACUGUUCCCACAAUAGGAGCCACUCCAGGCCUUGAGAGAGUAAUGUGUUACCAAGACCACCUGAACUGUACAUGUGACUGAACAUCUUAAGGCCUUUAUAUAAACUCUUCCUCUUACAGCAGCAGAGAGAGCCACUCAUCUUUGAGACCAACCUCAUAGUCAAGUUCCCUUGCCUAUGAAAGCUGCCACCUACCAAUCUGGGGUGGCCUGCCUCUUUCUUCAGUCCCUCCUUGCCCUCUGUGUACUGACUGCAUGCAUGCCCAGCUGAAGGGUUUGGUGGUCCUAUCUAGCCUUAACCAACUCUGCUCCAACUAUAUGCAGCAGACUCCACAUGGAGUUCUGAAUUUAGCAAAAGUGUUCUUUAUACAAGAAAGUCUUCCAGGACACUCCUAGUCUGGACUCUGCUCUCUUUGCGAGCCUCAGCUACCUUUUGCACGCAUCUAUUGGAAGUUAUUCUAUGGCUGUUGGUUUAGUUGCCUAUCUCCUCCACUAGAUUGUACUCUCUCUGUGAAGAGCCAGUUUUGACUUUCACCAGGGCACUCCCCAGGUUGCAAACCAGCACUAGGGUAGGAAAAGUUCAUUGAUGUGAUUUCAGGUUUCACACUGUAAACUCUUACCAAAUCAGGUUCUUCUUGCUUGACCCACGGCAAGUCAAAAGGCUGAGGCACCGAGGUUUUAUUGGCCAGAGAGGAUUUAUUGGCAAGACAGCCAAGUGAGGAGAUGGGAGAACAGAGCUCAACAGCUUUGGGAGUAUUUAUGGGGUAAUGAAUAAAGAAGCAGGGUGGUCUGAGGCAUGGGGAAUAUGGGGAAAGGUGAUUGGAAAAGCAUUCAAUGAUCUUUGUUCUGUGCAGGUGUAACUAAGUUAGAGGCCGCCGCACUUUGGAAAGGUUGCCAAGGACAUGCAGGCACGCCCAAAUGGAGAGUUGGUGGUCCUAUCCAGUCUCAGCCUGCUCAGCUAGAACUAGAUGCAGCUGACUCUAAGUUUCCAGAAAACAACUCAGGCAAAUAUCUUAUUGUUUAGGCUACAUGCAGCUUAGAGAACAUGCAAAUCUUAUAAUGACUUUGAUGAAUGAAGACAGGUAAAAUGGAUUUAACCCACAGUUUCACAAUUAGUUUAAAAACAAAAACAAAAACAAACAAAAAAAAAACAGAAACACUUGCAUUGUUAUUUUAAAAUGAAUUCACACAGAAAUGUUGGAAAAUGUAUUGGUUUCAAUUUCUUCCAUGAUAAACUUUGGUAGAAAUAAUCCACAUAAACAAACAUUUUUUGGCAUCCUCAAUGAUGUUUUCCAGCUCUACUGAGGGGUAAUUAAGGGUUAAAACAUGGAUCUAUUUAAAACAAAUUAAGUUUUGAUGCACAUGUACAUUGAGAAAUGACAGCCACAACCAAGCUGCUUAACAUAUUCCUUACUUCACAGUUACUUUGUGGGUUUGUGUGUUGUGCUAAGAACACUUAAGAUCUACUCUCAGCAAAUUUCAAAUAUACAAGAGUGUUAUUAACAUAGUCACCAUGCUUUACAUUAGACUUCCAGAACUUAUAACUGAAAGUUUGUACCUUUUAACCAACGUCUCCCCAUAGCCCCCUCCACCACCACUCCUCCUCCCCGCCAGCCCCUAGUAACCAUCAUUCUAUACUCUAUGCAAAAAUUUGACAUUUUUAGAUUUCACAUUUAAGUGAACUCAUACAGUACUUGUCUUUAUCUGGCUAAUUACACUUAGCACAAUAUCCUAGUUUCAUCCAUGUCACUGCAAAUGGCAGAAUUUCCUUCUUUAUGGCUGAAUAAUAUUCCUUCACAUACAUAUCACAUUUUAAAAUCCAUUCAUCAGAGGGAUCCUGAGGUAGAGGAGUUUGAGAAGCCCUCCCUUAAUCUUUUUUAUUUCCUGCUCAGAAUGUAGUGUCCGGUAAAAUUACACCUAGGCAAGGCAGUUCCUAUGAAGAUUAAGGCAGGAGUUCUAAAACUGUUUUGUGUCAGGAGCACAUUACACUCUUAAAAAAAAUAAUGUGGGGCAGGAGUUGGUUCUUUGUUUCUUGAAAUUUGAAAUUGUUGCCUGCUCUGGAAAAAUAUAUAGCUCCUGAUUUAUUCUGAACCUCAUGCCAGCACGUUAAUUUGUCUAGUUCUGAGCACAAAGCAAAGAAGGGUACAUUUUCCUCUCCAGCACCCUGAGACAAAGCACAGAUUCCUGUCUCAUAUGAAGGGAACUCUCCUGCCUCCCAAACAAGGGUCUGUUCCAAACACUUACUCACAUUUCAGUGAGUCAGAAGGAAACAGACAGAUAUUCAUCUCAUGAAACCUGGCUGACUUCCUGCAAGAAGUCUGUGAGGAGAGUUAAGAUUGGGUGUCAGGGUUAGUGGAGCCCCCACCCAGGAGCUCUCAGGUGCUAUGUGGUGUCUUAGUAAGCAGGUGAGUACCAUAUACCAGGCAGAAAAAAAAUGCCUUCAAGUGUCAGGAUUAGUAACUAGAGCUAGUAAGUGAAAGAUAAGAAAGCAGGAAAGAACCAGGGGUGAUACAUUGGGUAUUGAAUGUAUUGAAUGUAGAGUCAUGAUUACAAGCAGUAGCACCUGGUGAAUACCAAUUUAAUGCUUGAACAACUGGAGACUCCAGCCCUAGCUAUGGUAAAGGGGAGUAUUUGAUUUUUACCAAGUCCUCCCAGUCUUGAACCACUUUGCCUCUUAGUGGCAGAAUCCCAAGCAUCCCAACUUCAUAGUACCUGCCCCAUAAAGAUUUUGAAUGGUGAUAAUAAAAAUAAUUAGACUAGUAACUCCUUAAGCUUAAUUUAUUAAUCCAUUUGAUUAUUCACCAAAGUAGUCAGUGUAAGGAGUCUGGUCUCCGCAGUGUGCCAGGCAUCUGUUGGUGAACUUUCAGAGGAAUAAUCAGAUUUGGAGAAAAAUGAAUAUCCUAUUUCUUAGGUUGGGAAGUAAAAAUCUCAGAAGUGGUUAUAGAGUGUUUUCUUUCCAGAUCUGAGCCUGAAAUAAUGGAAGAAAAUGCUCACGGUGUAAUACAAAGAGGAAGAGUCACGAGUUCAUGUGGGAGCCCUCACUCUUCUCGGUGUCUUGAAGUAAAUCACUUAAAGUAGGUAAUCAAAUCAUCUCCUUAUUGUGGAGGAGAGGACGGAAUGAGGAUUUAUAACACACACUCACAGCGCUCUCGCAGCAGCUCUUGCUUAAAUAUCACUUCGGGAUAAUCAUAACUUGUGGG
RNAcentral lists this long non-coding RNA (3809 nucleotides) under Sus scrofa (pig). Its description in RNAcentral is "lncRNA (ENSSSCG00045028325.1)". The record is from RNAcentral. Lineage: Eukaryota; Metazoa; Chordata; Mammalia; Artiodactyla; Suidae.